GACGAACGCUGGCGGCGUGCCUAAUACAUGCAAGUAGAACGCUGAAGAGAGGAGCUUGCUCUUCUUGGAUGAGUUGCGAACGGGUGAGUAACGCGUAGGUAACCUGCCUUGUAGCGGGGGAUAACUAUUGGAAACGAUAGCUAAUACCGCAUAACAAUGGAUGACACAUGUCAUUUAUUUGAAAGGGGCAAUUGCUCCACUACAAGAUGGACCUGCGUUGUAUUAGUUAGUAGGUGAGGUAAUGGCUCACCUAGGCGACGAUACAUAGCCGACCUGAGAGGGUGAUCGGCCACACUGGGACUGAGACACGGCCCAGACUCCUACGGGAGGCAGCAGUAGGGAAUCUUCGGCCAUCGGUGCAACCCUGACCGAGAAACGCCGCGUGAGGAAAGAAGGUUUUCGCAUCGUAAAUCUCGGUUUUAAGUCAAUAACGGGUUUGAGAGUGUAAAGUUCACACUGUGACGGUAGCUUAACAGAAAGGGACGGCUAACUACGUG
Molecule: ribosomal RNA, 497 nt
Filed under: uncultured bacterium
Lineage: Bacteria
Description: partial 16S ribosomal RNA
Rfam family: Bacterial small subunit ribosomal RNA
Source: RNAcentral